UGCCAGCAGCCGCGGUAAUACGUAAGGGGCGAGCGUUAUUCGGAACUACUGGGCGUAAAGGGCAUGUAGGCGGUUAAUUAAGCGGAUUGUGAAAGACUAAGGCUCAACUUUAGGAACGCGGUCCGAACUGGUUGACUAGAAUCUAGUGGAAGGCAUUGGAAUUUCCUGUGGAGCGGUGGAAUGCAUAGAUAUAGGAAGGAACAUCAAAGGCGAAGGCAAGUGUCUAUGCUAAGAUUGACGCUGAGGUGCGAAAGUGUGGGGAUCAAAUAGGAUUAGAUA
This 279-nucleotide ribosomal RNA is filed under the name uncultured bacterium. Its description in RNAcentral is "partial 16S ribosomal RNA". It matches the Rfam family "Bacterial small subunit ribosomal RNA", at positions 506 to 784 of the family's 1533-position model. The record is from RNAcentral.